This 79-nucleotide non-coding RNA is filed under the name Ruminococcus sp. Its description in RNAcentral is "c-di-GMP sequence". It matches the Rfam family "c-di-GMP-I riboswitch aptamer". Rfam says of the family: GEMM was predicted in a large-scale screen for bacterial structured RNA regulatory elements. Genes associated with GEMM are involved in a diverse array of functions, including chemotaxis regulation, signal transduction, secretion and chitin. Lineage: Bacteria; Bacillati; Bacillota; Clostridia; Eubacteriales; Oscillospiraceae. RNAcentral also lists the same sequence under 1 other name. The record is from RNAcentral.
CUGAAUAAUGGACAAACCCGUUGUGAAGCGGGGACGCAAAGCCUUGGAGACUUUGAAUAAAGUCAGUCCGGUUGCAAUA